GGAGAGGUGCCGGAGCGGUUGAUCGGGGCGCUCUCGAAAAGCGUUGUGGCUGUGAGGUCACCGUGGGUUCGAAUCCCACCCUCUCCG
This 87-nucleotide transfer RNA is filed under the name Promineifilum sp. (SeqCode). RNAcentral describes it as "tRNA-Ser". It matches the Rfam family "tRNA". From Rfam's summary of the family: Transfer RNA (tRNA) molecules are approximately 80 nucleotides in length. Their secondary structure includes four short double-helical elements and three loops (D, anti-codon, and T loops). RNAcentral also lists the same sequence under 1 other name. Lineage: Bacteria; Bacillati; Chloroflexota; Ardenticatenia; Promineifilales (SeqCode); Promineifilaceae (SeqCode). The record is from RNAcentral.